Molecule: transfer RNA, 87 nt
Filed under: Flavobacteriaceae bacterium PRS1
Lineage: Bacteria; Pseudomonadati; Bacteroidota; Flavobacteriia; Flavobacteriales; Flavobacteriaceae
Description: tRNA-Leu
Rfam family: tRNA
About the family: Transfer RNA (tRNA) molecules are approximately 80 nucleotides in length. Their secondary structure includes four short double-helical elements and three loops (D, anti-codon, and T loops).
Source: RNAcentral
ACCCGAAUGCUGGAAUUGGUAGACAGGCAUGGUUGAGGGCCAUGUGUCCUUUAGGGCGUGUGGGUUCAAGUCCCAUUUCGGGUACAA